AAUACUCCGGUAAGUGAGGCUAUUACGGGGAUACGGAUUGCUGCCGUGCAGCGAUGGAGACAGCGCUGCAUCGGUCAACAGGCUUUAUCGAAACCAAGGUGAAGCAUAAUGCAGUUACAUGGCACUAAUGAAGCGCCGCGCCCCGCAAAGCUAAAGCCUGAACGGUUG
This 168-nucleotide small RNA is filed under the name pig gut metagenome. RNAcentral describes it as "M-box riboswitch (ykoK leader)". It matches the Rfam family "M-box riboswitch aptamer (ykoK leader)", at positions 10 to 160 of the family's 169-position model. Rfam says of the family: M-box riboswitch, also know as ykoK leader is described as a metaloregulatory RNA that sense divalent metals and function as a genetic control element of genes related to divalent metal transport in bacteria. It was first reported upstream of the B.subtilis ykoK gene and genes with related functions in other bacteria. The record is from RNAcentral.